Molecule: ribosomal RNA, 500 nt
Filed under: uncultured Glomeromycotina
Lineage: Eukaryota; Fungi; Glomeromycota
Description: partial small subunit ribosomal RNA
Rfam family: Eukaryotic small subunit ribosomal RNA
Source: RNAcentral
CCAAUAGCGUAUAUUAAAGUUGUUGCAGUUAAAAAGCUCGUAGUUGAAUUUUGGGUCUGGCCGGGCGGUCCGCCCUCCGGGUGAGCACUGUUCCGACGCCGGGCCUAUCCCUCUGGUGAGUCGGCAUGUCCUUUGUUGGGUGUGUCGGGGAACCAGGACCAUUACCUUGAAAAAAUUAGAGGGUUCAAAGCAGGCGGAUGCCCGGAUACAUUAGCGUGGAAAAAUGCAAUAGGACGCGUGGUGCUAUUUUGUUGGUUUCUAGAACCGCCGUAAUGAUUAAUAGGGAUAGUUGGGGGCAUUAGUAUUCAAUUGUCAGAGGUGAAAUUCUUGGAUUUAUUGAAGACUAACUUCUGCGAAAGCAUUUGCCAAGGAUGUUUUCAUUAAUCAAGAACGAAAGUUAGGGGAUCGAAGACGAUCAGAUACCGUCGUAGUCUUAACCAUAAACUAUGCCGACUAGGAAUCGGGCGAUGUUAUUCUCAUGACUCGCCCGGCGCCUUAUG